This is a long non-coding RNA of Aegilops tauschii subsp. strangulata, 8140 nucleotides long. RefSeq lists it as uncharacterized. NCBI's taxonomy places the organism in Eukaryota, Viridiplantae, Streptophyta, Magnoliopsida, Poales, Poaceae. The record is from RefSeq and is a predicted model, not a curated record.
UUGCCAAAUUAUCUGUAUGUUUUCUUUUGAGGGGACCGAUUUUUUUUUGAGGGGGUCGAAUUUUUUCUUUGUAAGCCGAAAAGGAGAAGAAGAGAUCGAAAGAAAACGGGAGAAAUCACUCCGGCCUUCUUACACAGCGAGGCCCAGCCCAGCUAUCAUUCAGCUUGUCCCUUUAUAUGCCCCUCCCCUCCAAACCCUAAAUCCUCAGCCCUCACUCGUCUCCAGCCGUCACCCCCCUGGAGUCGGGUCCUGCCUGCGAAAUCACACCAGCCAUUAGCCAUCUCACAUCGAGUCCCCCAUGAUUCUUCGAUCUAUUUCGUCCCCGCUGCAUUUCCCAGCUUCUUCUCUUUCUUCUUCAAUGCGUUCUUCGCUUUCCCCUUUGGUGUUGCGGGGAUCUUAUUUUUUGUAGAAGAGGAUUAGGGUUUCGCCAAGCGCGGUGUUUCGCCGCGCGAGCAGAGCUGGCAGAUGACGACAAGCAAGACAGGGACUCUGCAGCGCCCCCGGUUCAGAUCGGGGGUCGCGAAUGAUGCAUCCGUCUAGGGGAAUCUCCGAUGCCAUUCUCACUUUUCUUCACGCGCCAUAUUUGUUUCUGCAUAAAUUGGGUGGAGUGUUGGCCUCGUGAACAGAAAUUAUUAGCAUAUGACGACAAGCAAGACAGGGACUCUGCAGCGGCCCCGGCUCAGAUCGGGGCUGCGAAUGAUGCAUUAGUCUAGGGGAAUUUCUGAUGCUAAUCUAAUUUACAGUUUCUUCUCUCUUAGUCUUGCCCUGAACGGACAUGAAUCCCACCGGUGUUUGCUGGGUUAUUUUUUUCCAUUGGAUUUUAAUCUGACGUUGUUUGCUGAAUUUGUGCCGCAACAAAUCCGGUGCAAGCAUAACUAGCAUAUGACGAUAACCAAGACAGGGACUCUGCAGCGCUCCCGGUUUCAUAUCGGGGGCGCGGAUGAUGCAUCCGUCUAGGGGAAUCUCUGAUGCUAUUUUCACUUCACUUGCUUGUUCUUCAUUUUUUUUCCUUUUGUUGUUUUGACUUAGCUGCCUGUAACAGUGUUCAAUACAGUACAGACAUUUUGCAAUGAAUUCCUUUCAACUCGCCACUAAGUUGUUGCACUGAACUGCCAGCCUGAUGAUUAUCCUCGAGAACGGAGAUCUGAAUCCAUUUCUCCGUUGAAGCCCGCUUGGCCGCCGUGCUUGACCUGUCAUGGCAUUUGUUUCUUGGCUGGGUUUCUCUCAGGAGUAAAUUGCAAAACCCCCAACAUGCAACAUGCAACAUGCAUGCAUGCAUGCAUCUCGCACACACACACACAUGUACGCACGAAGCAGGCCGAAUGGGCUCCGGGAAUGGAUGUGUAGAAGCAAAAGUUAUGAAGGCUUUGGCAGAUCGGGUGAAUGCCCCCCACUAGAUUCAUGGUGUACUUGUUUAAGUAGUGUUUGGUAUCAGUUUGAGGCUGCCCACCUUUAAUGGUUUAAUGCCUGGUGGUUUGCUGUAGAAAUCAUCAUGCGAAUAUUUUUGGAUCUGAACUAACUUAUGUGUGAAUUGUAGUGCUUAUGUUUGGACAUAGCAAGAUUAGAAGAAACGAGAACCAAGGCCAGAGUGCUUAAAGAGUAUUCGUUUAUCAAAUACGGAGCCUCUGUCUAGCCUGAUGAUUACAUUACCUUCGGAUAAAGAAUAAAGUUCUGAGAUCUCAGCUCCCUUGAAGCUCGCCUAGCUUAGGCUGCUGUGGUGGAUCCUACUCCCUCCUUCCAUAAAUAAUGUAGCAAUUUGCUCUUAGGAGUAAAUUGGAACAUACAUGCACAACACACACAUAUGUAUAUAUAUCUUCUUCCACCAACCUGGCAGGCUGGGUUCCGGUGAGAGUGUUUGAAGUCACAAAAAGUGUGAAGGCUUUGCAAAUGACUAGUUCUUGGUUCUGUAAUAUUACUCUAGUUGAGUUGUUUGGACUCUGUAUUAGCUAAUCUCAAAUGCACAACUUCUUUUAAUCGUUGCGUUUUCCUUGUUUCAUGUUGUUGUUUGCAGUUAGAUAUAUUGGCUUUGACAUUGGAGCAUUCUGAUCUAGCUGCCUGUUAAUUUAAAUGCACUUCCCUGUUGAAGCCUGCUUGGCCACUCUGGUGCAUUGGCAAUUCCAAGGUUUUAUAGGAAUUGAGAUACAUGUCAUCUCACUUCAUAUGAUUUUCCUAUUCCCAUGAUAUUCCUUAACUAUGAACCAAAGGAUUCCUUAAUUUCCUUUGACCGAGCUGGCUGGUCAAAAUAAUGCUCUCCUAUGUGUUUGUAUAGUGUUUUGCAACUCUGAUUGCUUAACUGCUGCCAUUUGGCCAUACUUUUGGAGGGUCAGUAGGUUGUUUCUGCAGUGCCCUUAAGUUUCUAUUCUCGUGAUCUUUUCUGCCAACUGAAUAUUGUUGCUCUCAUUGGUUUGUGCACCUUGAGAUUAUGUUGUCUCAGAUGUGGUUGCUGGUUUCUUGUGUUAAUUUCUUCCUUCUGCCUGCAUUUUCAUUGAAUACAGUUUAAGCAUUUUGGAAUGGAAAAUACUCAGUCUUGAGGCAUUUUAUUGUUGAGGUACGAGGUUGACCCGAUGAUUAACCUAAGAAUGAAGAUAUGAAUCCAAUUCUAGCCUUGAUGCGUUUUCCUUGAAUACAGUUUAAGCCUGAUGAUUAACCUAAGAAUGAAGAUAUGAAUCCAAUUCUAGCUGCUCCGCUAGAUGCUUUUCUUUCUUUCUUGGUAGGGUUUCUAGGGGAAUCUCUGAUGCUAUUCUCACUUUCCUCCCGCACCAUCUUUGCUUUGUUUCUGCAUCAAUUGGGUGGAGUGUUUUGCCUUGUCAAAAAAUAAUAAUAGCAAGACAGGGACUCUGCAGUGGCUCCGGCUCAGAUGGGGGCCGCGAAUGAUGCAUUCGUCUAGGGGAAUCGCUGAUGCUAAUCUAAAUUCACAGUAUCUUCUCUCAGUCUUUGCCUGAACGGACAUGAAUCCCGCUGGUGUUUGCUAUUCUUAGCAGUUUUUCCUAUGGAUUUUAAUUUGCUAAAUUUGUGUUGCAACAAAUCCGGCACAAACAUAAUUAGCAAAUGACGAUAAGGAAGACAGGGACUCUGCAGCGCUCCUGAUUUCAAAUCAGGGCCGUGAAUGAUGCAUCAGUCUAGGGGAAUCUCUGAUGCUAAUUUCCUUUUAGCUUUUUCUCUUGCAUUUUUAUCUUGAUUUAGGUGCUAUUAACUGUGGUAAAUACAGUGUGAGCAUUUUCACAAUGAUUUCUUUUAGCCAGAGGCACUUCCUUGUUCAGAUAAGCGGGGUGCACUGAACUGCCAGCCUGAUAAUUAUCUUCAAGAACGGAGAUCUGAACCCACUUCUCCGUGGAAGCCUGCUUGGCCGCUGUGCUUGUCGAAUAUCCUGGUUUCUUGGCUGGGUUCCUAAAAUGCAAAACCCCCAAAGUGCACCCAUCCAUCGAUGCAUCUCACACACACACACAUACAUGUACGCAUGAAGCAGGCCAAAUGGGCUCCGGGAGUGGAUGUGUAGAAGCAAAAGUUAUGAAGGCUUUGGCAGAUCAGAUGAAUGCCCCCACUAGGUUCAUGGUAUGCUUGUUGUAGGAGAAGUACUAGAUGUUAGUUUGAGGCUUGCCCACCUUCAUUGGUUUAAUGCCCUGGUGUUUUGCUGUGGAAAUCAUCAUGGCAAUAUCUGUUGGGUUCUGAACAUUACUUAUGUGUGAAUUGUAGUACUUAUGUUUGGACAUAGCAAGAUUAGCAGAUAUGGGAAUCACGGCCAGAAUAUGUAAUAGUAUCUGUUUAUCUUUAUGGAACCUUGUGCUUGGCCAGCCUGAUGAUUACACCUCUACAUAAAGAAUGAAGUUCUGAGGUCUGAAUGCUCUUCUCAGCUCCGUUGAAGCUUGCCUAGCUUAGGUUGCUGUGGUGGAUCCUACUCCCUCCUUUCCUAAAUAAUGUACUCCCUCCGUCCACAAAUAUAAGAUGUUCUAGCUUUUUGCUGAAUUGGAACAUGCAUGCACACAUGCAUAUAUAUAUAUAUUAUCUUCCACCAACAUGGCUAGCUGGGCUCCGGUGAGAGUGCUUGGAGACACAAAAAGUAUGAAGGCUUUGCUAAUGCAUAGAAUUCUUGGUUUUGUAUUAUUACAUAAGAUGCUUCGGCUGUUUUUCUUUCUUGUUCCGGCUGUUCGCAGUUGUUAAGUGGUUGUAACGAUGGCCUUGUGUCAUCCCUGGCCGGUUGAUGGCUUUGUUAAUUCAAAGCCGGGCUCUUCUUGAGCCUUCGCUCUAAAAAAAAGAAACUUGUUUGGACUUCGCAUUAGCUAUCUCAAAUGCACAACUUCUUAUCAUAGUUGUUUUUUUCUCGUUUCACGUUGAUGUUUGCAUGUAUCUAUUUGCUUUGUCAUUGGAGCAUUCUGAUCUAGCUGCCUAAUGAUUACCAUAGUGUGCAUUGUACAAAGAAUGGAUAUCUAAAUGCACCUCCUUGUUGAAGCCUGCUUGGCCACUCUGGUACAUUGGCACUUCCAGGUUUUUUUUUGGGAUCUGCUAGAGAUGCUCUUAUCCUGCUGUUGCUGUUGCUGCUACCUCCAUCACUGGUGUUCCAUUGGACGUCUAGGAGGGGAGUGGGGGUGGGGGGUCUGGCUGUAGAUGCUCUUAAUUUCCUAUGACUGAGCUGGCUAAGUGGAUUCCAGGGAAUAAAUAUGUUGAAGUAUGAAUGAAGGCUUGUCUGAUCAAAAGAAUGCUCCUAUAUGUUUCUAUAGCGUUUUGCAACUCUGAUUGCCUAAUGAUCAUUAGGGUAUGUUUUUGGAGGGUCAUUGGGUGUUUCUGCAGUGCCCUUAUAUUUCUAUUCUUGUGGUCUUCUCUGGCAACCGAAUAUUGUUGCUCUCAUUGGUUUGUGCAUGUUGAGAUUUCCUUGUGUACCUCCACACAUGGUUGCUGAUUUCCCGUGUUAAUUUCUUCUGUAGUACUUAUUCUGCCUGGGUUUUCAUUGAAAAGUUUUAGUCGGAGGCAUUUGUUGUUGAUUGAGGUAGGUGGUUCAGUGAAUCCCACUUGCCGCCGUGCUUGAUUGAUGCCUUCCCCCUCCUUUGUUUCUUGGCUGGGUUUCUCUUGGGAGUACAUUACAAACACACACACACACACACACACACACACAUGCCCGCACAAAGCAGGCUAAAUGAGCUCUGGGAAUGGAUGUGUAGUAGCAAAAGCUAAAAGGCUUUGGCAGAUUUGAUGAAUGCCCCCCACUAGAUUCAUGGUAUGCCCCCCUCCAUAUUAGUGCUGCCCACCUUACAUGGUUUAGUGCCUGGUGUUCUGCUGUAGAAAUCAUCAUGGAAAAUCUGACUGGAUCUGAACGUAACUUCUGUGAGUUGUAGUACUUAUAUUUGGACUCGAGCAAGAUUAGCAGAUAUUAAAAUCAAGGCCAGAGUAUCUGUAGUAUUUGUUUGUCACAUACAGAACCUUUGUAUGCUUGGCCAUCCUGAUCAAGGCUAGAAUAUCUGAUAGUAUUCGUUUCUCAGCUCCGUUGAAGCUCACGCAGCUUAGGCUGCUGUGGUGGUGGAUCCUACUCCUUCUGUUCCUAAAUAAUGUAGCAAUUUGCUCUUAGGAGUUAAUUGGAACAUGUAUGCACACUCUGGGCUCCGGUGACGGUUUUUGGAGAGACAAAAAGUUUGAUUGCUUUUGGCAAAUGCACAGAAUGCUCAGUUCUGUAAUAGUAUUAUUUUAGUUGAGAACGUUGUUUGGGCUCUGUAUUAGUUUUCUCAAAUGCGCCGCUUUGAAUUUUUUUUCUUGUUUUGUGUUGAUGUUUGCAGUUAAUAUAUUUGCUUUGUCCUUUGAGCAUUCUGGUCUAGCUGCCUGAUGAUUACCACUAAGAAUGGAGAUCUGAAUGCACUUCCCUGUUGAAGCUCGCUUGGCCGCUUUGGUGGAUUGGCAAUUCCAAGGGUUUUUUGGGGUCCGUUGGAGUUGCUCUUAACCUGCUGCUGCUGCUUCCUCCUUCUACUACUACUACUACUACUACUACUACCAUCACUUCAGUUCCUUGCAUGCCUGGAACUACUCAACCCUCCUAAACUCUUAAUUGCCUUUGAUCGAGCUGGUUAAGUGGACUCCAGGGAAUAAAUAUGUUGAUGCAAGAAGUAUGAAUGAAGGCUUGGCUGAUCAAAAGAGUGCUCCGAUAUGUUUUUUAGCGUUUUGCAACUCUGUUUGCUUAAUUGGCCAUUUUUGGAUUAGGGUGUUUCUGCUAAGCUCUAUUCUUCCGAUCUUUUCUGGCAACUGAAUGUUGUUCCUUUUUCUGUUUGGUAUUGUCUUUUAUGGUUUGUGCACCUUAAAAUUUCCUUGUACCUCAGACAUAUUUGCUAAUUUCGUGUGUGUUUCCUCCGCCUGGGCUUAGUCUGAGGCACUUGUUGUUGGGUGUUGGGUGGGGCUUAGUCUGAGGCACUUGUUGUUUGGUGUUUGGUGGGGGUUGUCAAGUGUAUUGCAAACCUGAUGAUUAGCCUAAAAAUGGAGAUCUGAAUCCAUUUCUCCGUUGCUUGGCCGCGUGCUUGGUUCAUCCCCUCCUUCGUUUCUUGCCUGGGUUUCUCUCAGUAGUAAAUUGCAAAAAACCCAACAUGCAUGCAUGCACACAUGUACGCACAAAAAGCUUUGGCAGAUUGUUGAAUGCCCCCACUAGAUUCAUGUUAUGCUUGUUUAAGUGCAUUUUAGAAUAGUUUGUGGCUGCCUGUUUUCCUUCCAUGGUUUAUUGCUUGGUGUUUCGCUGUAGAAAUCAUCAUGGAAAUAUUUGUUGGGUUCUGAACAGUUGGUGCCCUCCUUGAAUGCUUUAGUGCCUGUAUUUUGCUGUGGUUAUCAUGGAAAGAUUUGUUUGGAUCUGUAUCUUAUGUUUGGCCUAGUAUUCGUUUAUCAGAUACUAAACCUUUUGUGCUUGACCAGCCUGAUGAUUACCUAUGGCAUAAAGAAUGGAGACCUGAAUGCCCUUCAAAGCACGCCUAGCUUAUGCUGCUAUGGUGGAUCCUACCCCCUCCAUUCCUAAAUAAUGUACUCCCUCCUUCCAUCUAUAUAGGGCCUAAUGCGUUUUUCGAGGCUAACUUUGACCAAAUGUUAAUAAUAUAUGACAUGCAACUUACACAAAGCAUACGGUCAAAUUUGUGUGUGAAAGGAGCUUCCAAUGAUAUAAUUUUCACAUUAUACAUCUCAUGUACUAUUAAUCUUGUCAAUAGUCAAAGGCGGUUUUGAAAAAUGCAUUAGCCCCUAUAUAAAUGGAAGGAGAGUGUAGCAGAUUGCACAAAGCAGGCUAAAUGGGCUCUGAGAAUGUGUGUGUAGAAUGGGCUAAAUGGCCAGCCUGAUAAAGGCCAGAAUAUAGGCUUUCUCAGCUCCUUUGUACCUCACCGAGCUUAGGCUGCCGUGGUGGAUCCUACUCCCUUCAUUCCUAAAUAAUGUAGCAACUUGCUUUUGAGGAGUAAUUUGGAACAUGUGUGCAACUCUAUAGAUAUAAUCUCUGAUCUUCCAGCAACCGGUUAGGUGGGCUCUGGUGAUGGUGUUUGGAGAUACAGAAGUUUGAAGGCUUUUGGCAAAUGCACAGAAUGCUCAGUUCUGUUAGUUGAAUAUAUUGGCCUUGUCCUUUGAGCAUUCUGGUUAGCUGCCUGAUGAUUACCACAAAGAAUGGAGAUCUGAAUGCACUUUCCUGUUGAAGCUCGCUUGGCCGCUUUGUUGCGUAGGCAAAUCCAAGGGUUUUUUGGGGAUCCGUUGGAGAUGGUCUUAACCUCCUGCUCCUGCUCUAAUACCACUUCCACCAUCACUGCUGUUCCUUGCAUGCCUGGAACUACUCAACCCUCCUGAACUCUUAAUUUCUUUUGACCGAGCUGGCUAAGUGGACUCCAGGAAUAAAUAUGUUGAUGCCAGAAGUAAUAACGAAGGCUUGGCUGAUUGAAAGAAUGCUCCUAUAUGUUUGUAUAGCGUUUUGCAUCUCUGUUUGCUUAUUGAUUAGGGUGUUUUUUUUGGAUUAGGGUGUUUCUACAGUUUCAUUAAAGCAAUAUUCUUCCGAUCUUUUUUGACAACUGAAUGUUUUUUUUUUGCUGUUUUGGUUUUGUUUCCUUGGGGACCUCUCAGACAUGGUUGCUGGUUUCUUGUGUACUCCUCUGCCUGGGAUUUUCAUUGAAAAAUGGCAUUUGUUGUUAAGGUAGGGAGAGGGGGUGCA